UGAGAACUGGUUUUCAUAGACUGGUUCCAGUUCUGUAAGCUCAGUCCGUGAUACUCAGUUCUCUAG
RNAcentral lists this microRNA precursor (66 nucleotides) under Gekko japonicus. RNAcentral's name for it is "Gja-Mir-146-P2_pre stem-loop". Lineage: Eukaryota; Metazoa; Chordata; Lepidosauria; Squamata; Gekkonidae. The record is from RNAcentral.